UGAGGAAUAUUGGUCAAUGGGCGAGAGCCUGAACCAGCCACGUCGCGUGAAGGAAGACUGACCUUACGGUUUGUAAACUUCUUUUGUAGAGGGGUAAUGGCAGAUACGUGUAUUUGCGUGAAAGUACUCUACGAAUAAGCAUCGGCUAACUCCGUGCCAGCAGCCGCGGUAAUACGGGGGAUGCGAGCGUUAUCCGGAAUUAUUGGGUUUAAAGGGUGCGCAGGUGGCUAAUCAGGUCAGUGGUGAAAAGCUAUAGCUCAACUAUGGUCUUGCCUUUGAAACUCUCUAGCUAGAGUGUACUGGAGGUACGUGGAACGUGUGGUGUAGCGGUGAAAUGCAUAGAUAUCACACAGAACUCCGAUUGCGCAGGCAGCGUACUACAUUACAACUGACACUGAAGCACGAAAGCGUGGGUAUCAAACAGG
Molecule: ribosomal RNA, 425 nt
Filed under: Verrucomicrobiota bacterium
Lineage: Bacteria; Pseudomonadati; Verrucomicrobiota
Description: Verrucomicrobia bacterium partial 16S ribosomal RNA
Rfam family: Bacterial small subunit ribosomal RNA
Source: RNAcentral